Molecule: microRNA, 21 nt
Filed under: Malus domestica (apple)
Lineage: Eukaryota; Viridiplantae; Streptophyta; Magnoliopsida; Rosales; Rosaceae
Also listed under: 5 other names
Description: mdm-miR156w
Gene: mdm-miR156t
Source: miRBase by way of RNAcentral
UUGACAGAAGAGAGAGAGCAC